UCGAGGACAUUAAUUGCGUGAAACUUUGUUAUGUGUACAAUACUUGGUAUAUAUACUACUGGUUUUACAAUAAAACUGCGCUACAUAUGCAAUCAUGCAUGGUUUACAAACACCGAUGAAAACACCAAAGACUUCAGCAGAGCCAUCACAGGCACGGGCUAGUAUCAGUAUGUACAUGAUAGCCAAUUAACCCAUGAAGAUUACUCUAAAUUUCAUUUAAUAGGAUAGAGUCGAUGUAUAGAAAGCUUCAUUCACUGAUGGACCUCCUCAACUUCUGGACUGCCCACCCCUGGACUUGGACUGGACUUCUUGCUCCCUCCGAGAGCAUUGAGAUUUGGGGACCCAUGUCCCUCACCUCCCGAGCUCGGGCCCCCGUUCUUGACUGCUCCAAGCUGCAAUUCGUUCAUGAAAUUUCCAAGUUGAUCUCCUAUCAUCGGCCGAGCCUCCACCAAGAGAACAAUGCCGGACGACAGAAGAAAGAGGAAGAGAGAUCCCAAGAUUUGCAGCCUUGCAGCCAUUGGUUG
This 524-nucleotide long non-coding RNA is filed under the name Elaeis guineensis (African oil palm). Its description in RNAcentral is "long non-coding RNA (EGUI_LNC032632)". Lineage: Eukaryota; Viridiplantae; Streptophyta; Magnoliopsida; Arecales; Arecaceae. The record is from RNAcentral.